AAUCAGCCAAAAUCUCUUGAGUAUUGGACAGAUGCUGGAAAAAGAUUAUGCUUUUGAAUUUAGAAAGCGGAAGUGCACAGUUUUUAAUCCUGUAGGAGAAAAAAUGUUCUCUGUAACAAUGAAAAAAAGGAGUUUCUUUAUCAAUUGGGAGGAAACUGAUAAGCAUGCAUUUACUAGCACCACCUUCAAUAAAUCAGACUUGUGGCACAAAAAGUUUGGGCAUUUCAAUCAAAGAAGUUUGUUGGAGAUGAAACAAAAAGAUUUAAUUCUGAAGCAACCAGAAUUAUGUGUGAUAAUAUCUCUGCUGUUUCGACGGCAAAGAAUCCUAUUUUUCAUAGGCGAACCAAGCACAUCAAGAUUAAGUUUCAUUUUAUUAGAGAAGUUCAACAAUCUAAUGAAGUAUUACUUGUUACCUGCUUAUCUGAAGAACAAUUAUCUGACAUUUUCACAAAAUCCUUACCAAAAGAAAGAUUUGAAGCUCUGAGGAAAAAUAUUGGUGUUUGUCAUCAAAAUGCCAUGGAGGAGUGUUGAAGUGCUGGCAUUCUGUUUCAUCAAAUAUUUUUCUGUUUUAUCAGUUUUCAAUAACACUGCUGGAGUUCCUAAUUUUCAGCCUUAGAAUCUCAGUUUAUUAUUUUGUGUUAUUUGGAUUCCAUUAUUUGAGGAGAAUCUGUUAUUUCAACUUGUAUAAAUUCUCAAUUACAUUGAAGUAAAAGAGAUCUUCUUCCUCUCAUAUUUUUUAAUCUUUUAAAUUUGUUUCUGUUGAAACUCUCAUUAUUUUAGCAGAUACAUUGUUUCAACAUUUCUAAGCUCAAAUGGGCAUAAUUCUCUUUCUAUUAAGGGUUUUGUAAAUCUAGAAUAGAGUAGACAAAAUUUAAAUUGAAAAUCUUAUGAGAAUAAAGCUUGUGUGAAGCUUUUGUUGAAUGGGUAUUCAAGCACCUCUCUUUGAGUAAGAGCGAGUCUUGUAAGUUUGAUUGUUCUUUGCAAAAACAAUCUAAGUUUCCUAGUUCUUUGUAAAAACUAGCGAGGUUAAGUUUAUCUAGUUUGACAAAACCUAGAAAUGCAAGAUGAUUUCUUAAGGAGUGGAUGUAGGUGUGAGAAAUGCCGAACCACUAUAAAAAUUGAUUGUGUUGUUUUCUCCUCUAUUAUUCUCUUGGUAGUUCAAUUUGAAUACAUUCACAUACUCACUUGAUAAUCUGAUAUAUUUGAUGAUUUAAUUCUGCUCUAGGUGUUGUAAUGUGGUUAUUUGAUUUCUGAGACUGUUUUGAAUAUAAACUGACUCACAGGAUUAGUGUUUCUCAGUUUCAGUGAGCCAAAAUCAAUGACAGGUUCAAUUUCGUGUUUCUAUUCUCUAUGAUAAAUCGGUUAAGUGUUUAAUUGAUUUGUUUAUGUUUAUUAUCUGAAUAUAGCUAGUAUAUUAUGUUGCUUCUACUGUGAUUUGAAAAAUCCUUGAAAAGGAUUAUUUUUUAAAGUACCAAUUCACCCCCCUGGAUAUUUGCUUAUUAGGACCUAUAGAAUCUCAGCCUGAAGAAGGAUCUAGUCAGCCUUGUCCGGUCAACAUUACGCAAAUAUAUUUGGAAGAAGUGGGUGGUGUGAAGAAGCAACGAAUUUGAAGUCUCAGCUCGCAGGCAUCAAUUUUAUAUAGGCAGUGUAGCGCUUCUAACUCAUCUGCGACAUCUCACAUUCAAGAACAAUGAAAUGAGGAUAUGACUUCUUGUAUUCAAGAAAUGGAGCAGCUUAUGAAGGAUAUGCAGGAGCAAAUGCAACAACAAGUCCAAGAGCAAGUAGAAUACUAGAUACAACUAUUCUAAAAUCAGCUCCACAAACUUAAAGAUCUACUUCGUAGCCAGUUAGCAUCUUUAGUUGGCAGCUUACCUACUGAACCUGCACAAUCCUAGAUCAGAACAGGAUAUGAUGAUGAUACUACUCUAUGUUGACUUAAGUGAAUCACACAUAAAUUACAUAUUUUUUUUAUUUAGAUUAAACUUUUAAUUUAUGAAAUGUUUAUAUUUAAUAUAUUUAUUAAAAGUUUGACUUCUAUACUUUAUUUUGCCUUUUUAAUACCAAGUUAAUAGAGAAUUAUAUAAAUAAAUUACAAAUUUAGUAAUGGAUUUAGCAACAAAUUAGUCGUGGAUAAUAAUAUAUUUAUUUUUAAAUUUAGCAAUAGAUUUUGCAAUGGAUUUUAAAAUAGCAAUGGUUUUAGCAACAUAUUAGACACGGAUUUUAACAAAAUUUUGAUAUAUUUAGCAACGGUUUUAGCAAGGGAUUAUAAACAACAAUGGCUUUAACAACAUGUUAGCUAGGCAUUUCAAUAAAAUUUCAAUAAAAUUAGCAAAAUGGAUUUAGCAAGAUAUUGAAGUAAGCACAACUUUAGCUAUAGAUCAACCACACAUUUAGUAACAGAAUUAGUAAGCGAUUUUCAUUAAUAACGCAUUAACAACUGAGUUAGCAACCGAUUUUCAUUUAGAAUUAUAUUUGGCUAAAAAUUUAGGCACGAAUUUAGCAUGCGAUUUCAUAUUAAAAACGGAAGUAGACAGAUUAGCAAUGAAAUUAGCAACAAAAUUAGACAAAAAUUAGCAACAAAUUAGAUACGCUUUGACAGCGAAAUUGAUACCCAAAUUGACAUAUUUUUAGCAACCAGUAUGAUUCAGAAUAGCAAGGGAAUUAUACCUGGCUAAUUUAGGAACAGUUUGCUUAUUGUGGCUAUUUAUUUAGAAAGACAAUAUUUAGAGAUGGAUGUGAUCCAUGGCUAAUCCGUUGGUUAAAUAAGAUUAGCAACAAAUUUCUCAAAUUAGCAACCAAUGUUCUGUUGCUAAAUGCAUUUUUUAAUGCUUGGUAAUAAUAAUAAUAAUAAUAAUAAUAAUAAUAAUAAUAAUAAUAAUAAUUUUUAAGAUUUUUUCCUUUUAAACAUAAAAUAUUAAUUUAAUAUGUAGUUUACAUGACUUUUGGACCAAUAAUUUCUAGAUUAUUUAACUAUAUAAGAAGUGUUUAAAUGAUCUAAUUUUAUAAAUUGGAAUGUUUAACAUAUUAAACAAAGUGUUUAAAUGGCUUAAUUUUAAAAAUUAAACUGUGGGUCAAUGUAAAAGUUAAUGCUCAUAAAAUUUUUUAUAAAAUUUUUUGUAAAAAAGUAUUGGAGAGAGUUUAUUCAUUGAGUUAUUUUUCACAAAAAGCACGUAGGUGAAUCACGUAGGGCCAAAAUAUAUUUAUUUAAAAUUGAUGAGGUUUGAGAAUAUAGGAAGGGUGGUGUGGCCUUAUGCGAAUUCAUUAUCGUGGCAAAUGAGAAGGAUGCAAGUGGGUCCCAAUUCACGAGAUACCUACCUGGAAAGCAUGUACAAGGCUGGGCCCACGAGGAGGUGCAUCUUUAGAAUUGGGCGGUUCCCAAAGCCGUUUCCAAAAUCAAACAAGGAAAAAGUAAAGCAAUGUAAUGGCAGCAGCUAAUUUUCAAAUCGCGUGGGACCAUAAGGUAUUGCAAAUGAUCAUACUUGGUGAUUGUAGGUCCCACUUCCGGCACCGGCCUAAAUACUUGUCCACUGCCACGUCAUCAUCUUAAAAGUGAAUUUGACGACAAUAGCCAAUAGUAAAGAGGUCUUCUUUAUUAUUGUGUGUACUAAAAGAGAAUCUUUUGCAUUUAUUUUCCUUUUGUUCAUUAGAAACUCACACUUUAUUUGGAGAGGAGAGGAAGAAAAAUAGUCGAUUAAGGAAAUAAUAGAAAAAAACAAAGAAAUAUUGAAAUGUUUUUUUGAUUUUGUUGUUUUCCGAUGAAAAGAGAAAAAAAAAAAAAGGGAAAGAAGAUAAAUUAUAUUUUGCAUCAAAUGACGUAAUUUUUUUAAUUCAUACAUUAUUAUCUACUUUAUUGUGGAAAGAAUUUAAUUUUGUAUUCCUAUAAAAGAAUUGUUUUUGAUAUUCUAUUAUUACCCCUUUCAUUAAUAUUUUUUCUCACGUAUUCUUUCCUCAAAAAAAUCUCCCUUUCCAAAUAUAAAUGUAAUAAAUUAAAUAAUAAUAUUAUAAGAUAUACAAUAUAAAAAUUAUAUAUUUUUUUAAAUAAUAUUAUAUAGGUUUUCUUGAUAACUUUAAUUAAAUGAAUUAAAAUUCCUAUGAUUGGAAAAAUUUAAAUUUGAGAUAUCUUAUUUAUUCACUCCAUUAAUCUACCGGUUUUAUUUUAUCAAGCAUGAUUUGUUUAUAUAAUAUAUGUUUAAAUUGAAUAUAAUAUAUAUUACCAUUUUAUAUAUUUUUAUAUAGUUAAUAUUAUAAUUUCAGUUAGUUAAUAUUUUUUAUAUAGUUAAUAUUAUAUUUGUAGCAUAUAGAUAUUAUUUAAAUAAUUUAUAUACAAUAAAUUAUUUAAUAUUAAUUUUUUUUAACUGGACUUUAAUAGCUAAUAAAAUAAAUGUCUGACAGGCAAGGUGGGAUUGAAUCCCAAACUUUGAAACGGUCAUAACUAAUAGAGGUUCUAGCAAGAUUAUGAGCAUCCUUGCCUUCUAAUCCAUCUAAUCCAAAAUUAUGUAAUAUUAAUAAAUAAGUAGAAAUACACUGCAAAUAUUAAUAGUUGAGUUUAUUUUGGUAAAAAUAACAUCAACCAAAUUGAAAAAUGGAAAUUAAAAAAUUUUAAGAUUAGGAUUUAAUUUCUAAAUAUUCAAAACAAAUAAAUUGAAUUAUAUAGGUUGAUAUUCGCUUUUUUGGUUUAAACUGAAUAAUGCUCGGUGGUACGGAUCUUGAUGCUCCCGAAUGAAAGUUAAGGUAUUUUAAGGAGAAUUACUAAUUUUUGUUAUUUCUUUUUCCACCAAAAUAUACAUAUAUGAUAUCCAACCAAGUAUGGUCUAGUGGAUUUGAAGGUAUCAAGUUGAAGUCUCUCGAUCAAAAAAGUUUUCAUCAAUUUGAUGAGUCAAUGAAAAAACUAUUUUAUAAAUUAAAAUUAAAUUCUCGAUGCACUUAUUCAUAUCUAUUGUUAACAAUAAAAUUUUGAAAUCUUAAGGAUGAAUGUAGUAGGGUGAACAUUUGGCCAAUGCACUUAUUCAUAUCUAUCGUUAACAAUAAAAUUUUGAAAUCUUAAGAAUGAAUGUAUUAGGGUGAAGAUUUGGUCAAUUUGAAUAACAUUUUUAAUUGAAGUAAAUUAAUUGAAUGUUUUUUUUACUUAACUAAAUUUGACCGAACUUAACUGAAUCGUUUUGGCCAGAUUAGUUUUGAUAAUUAACACACCGAAAUUAAAGAGAAUGAAAAUUUAAUUAACUGACUGAAUUUAACAGAAAUUUGUGAUUAACCGACUUUAAAUAAAAUAAAAAUUAACCGAACUUACUAAUCACUACUUAAUCAAAAUAAAAAUCAAAAUAUUUUUAAUUUUUAAUUGUUAAUUUUAUUAUCUAUGCAGAAUCGGUUUAUUUGAUUAAUUCGGUUUGAUUAACUUUUAACCGAUCAAUGGAACUUUAAAAUUUUUACACCGAACUUUUAGCUGAACACUUCUUCAUCAUAUCAAAUUGUUGGAAUUAAUCGAAUUGGCCGAAUUGAACCAAGCGAAUGCUCACCUAUGAAUGUCCCAUUUCGACUUAGUAUUAUUAAUUAAAUUAAAUCAUAAAUAAAACUUUUAUGCUGAAUAAUACUUCACAUUUUGGAGGAAAAAAAGAAAAAAAAAAAUACAAGUACAACUAGGCAUGUAUUCUAAUGUCUGAGUACAGUCAGUGACACAUGCAAGAUUCUUCAUAGUGUCACCCCCCCUUCCCAUUCUUUUAUUAAGCUUAUGCAUUUCACAUCUCUAUAAAUAGCUCUCUCAUUGAUCAUCUCUUCACUUCACUCCCAAGCAUUAAUUAGUUCUUUCUCCUUAACCUCAUAUAUUUUCAUUCAUUCUAUAUCUCCUUAUUUGCUUUCCAUAUGGCCAGUGUUGAGGUAACACUGUCGAGCUAUUUGCUUCUUUAAUUUCUUCUUCUUCAUUAAUUCUCCUAUAUAUGAUUAUCAUAUUGAUCUAGUGAUAUCUUUUCUUGUGGGUUAUUAAUGUUUUUCUUCUUCUCUUCAUUAACUACUAAUAAAUCAACCCACAUUUGUUAAUGAUCAAAUUAGAUUCUAUUAUUAUUAUUAUUAUGAUCGUUUCUCAGCUUUAUAGUUUUAUUAUAUUGUUCUUGUUUAUAUAGUUUCUUAAAAAAACUUUAAUUUCGCUCCGAUCGUGGGAUAGAACUCCGGCAUCUUAGCCCUGUAGAUGACCCUAGUACCACUGAGCUAGCCAAAGCUCAUUUAAAUAUUUGAUGAUUCAAGAUAAAAUGAAUCAGAUACAUUCUUCGACCUUUUUUUAUCCAUUUUUAUUGUUAUAUUUGCCAAGAAAUUAAGAAAAAAGUAAAUCAAAUAUGGUUGUUGCAGGUUCAAUCAGCUAAAACAGCAUUGCCAGAGAAUGAGACGCAAGAAGUGACCAAGACUGAGGAGACAACCACUGAACCUGCUGCACCAUCCGCACCAGAACCAGUAGCAGAACUACCGAAGGAAGUAGUCGCAGAGGAACCAGCGGCCAAAGAACCAGAGGUUGAAACCAAGAAAGAAGAAGAAGAGAAGAAAGAGGAACCAGAGGCAAAAGCUGAGGAUCAGCCUGAGGCUGCACCAGCAGCAGAAGAGACUCCAGAUGUGAAGCCAGCAGAGCCUGUCACUGAGGAGGAGGCCAAAGAUGAGAGUACUGAGAAAGUGACAGAGGCGCCACCAGCAGCAGACGAAGAGAAACCAGCUACGGAAGAGAAGCCAGUUGAAAAAGAGGAGGAAGCAAGCAACACAGAGGUUCCAGUGGAGAAGACUGAAGAAU
Molecule: long non-coding RNA, 6766 nt
Filed under: Jatropha curcas
Lineage: Eukaryota; Viridiplantae; Streptophyta; Magnoliopsida; Malpighiales; Euphorbiaceae
Description: long non-coding RNA (JCUR_LNC002603)
Source: RNAcentral